Molecule: ribosomal RNA, 468 nt
Filed under: uncultured bacterium
Lineage: Bacteria
Description: partial 16S ribosomal RNA
Rfam family: Bacterial small subunit ribosomal RNA
Source: RNAcentral
GACGAACGCUGGCGGCGUGCUUAACACAUGCAAGUCGAACGGAAAGGCCCUGCUUUUGUGGGGUGCUCGAGUGGCGAAAGGGUGAGUAACACGUGAGUAACCUGCCCUUGACUUUGGGAUAACUUCAGGAAACUGGGGCUAAUACCGGAUAGGAGCUCCUGCUGCAUGGUGGGGGUUGGAAAGUUUCGGCGGUUGGGGAUGGACUCGCGGCUUAUCAGCUUGUUGGUGGGGUAGUGGCUUACCAAGGCUUUGACGGGUAGCCGGCCUGAGAGGGUGACCGGCCACAUUGGGACUGAGAUACGGCCCAGACUCCCACGGGAGGCAGCAGUGGGGAAUAUUGCACAAUGGGCGGAAGCCUGAUGCAGCAACGCCGCGUGCGGGAUGACGGCCUUCGGGUUGUAAACCGCUUUCGCCUGUGACGAAGCGUGAGUGACGGUAAUGGGUAAAGAAGCACCGGCUAACUACGUG